GACGAACGCUGGCGGCGUGCUUAACACAUGCAAGUCGAACGCUGAAGCUCAGCUUGCUGGGUGGCUGAGUGGCGAACGGGUGAGUAACACGUGAGUAACCUGCCCUCUUCUUUGGGAUAACGCCCGGAAACGGGUGCUAAUACUGGAUAUUCACUGAUUCUCGCAUGGGGGUUGGUGGAAAGGUUUUUUCUGGUGGGGGAUGGGCUCGCGGCCUAUCAGCUUGUUGGUGGGGUGAUGGCCUACCAAGGCUUUGACGGGUAGCCGGCCUGAGAGGGUGACCGGUCACAUUGGGACUGAGAUACGGCCCAGACUCCUACGGGAGGCAGCAGUGGGGAAUAUUGCACAAUGGGCGAAAGCCUGAUGCAGCGACGCCGCGUGAGGGAUGGAGGCCUUCGGGUUGGAAACCUCUUUCGCUCAUGGUCAAGCCGCAGCUUUGGGUUGUGGUGAGGGUAGUGGGUAAAGAAGCGCCGGCUAACUACGUG
Molecule: ribosomal RNA, 482 nt
Filed under: uncultured bacterium
Lineage: Bacteria
Description: partial 16S ribosomal RNA
Rfam family: Bacterial small subunit ribosomal RNA
Source: RNAcentral